AGAACGAACGCUGGCGGCAGGCUUAACACAUGCAAGUCGAACGCCCCGCAAGGGGAGUGGCAGACGGGUGAGUAACGCGUGGGAACGUGCCCUUCGGUUCGGAAUAACUCAGGGAAACUUGAGCUAAUACCGGAUACGUGCGAGAGCAGAAAGAUUUAUCGCCCAGGGAUGAGCCCGCGUAGGAUUAGCUAGUUGGUGGGGUAAAGGCCUACCAAGGCGACGAUCCUUAGCUGGUCUGAGAGGAUGAUCAGCCACACUGGGACUGAGACACGGCCCAGACUCCUACGGGAGGCAGCAGUGGGGAAUAUUGGACAAUGGGGGCAACCCUGAUCCAGCAAUGCCGCGUGGGUGAUGAAGGCCUUCGGGUCGUAAAGCUCUUUCGCCAGGGAUGAUAAUGACAGUACCGGGAGAAUAAGCCCCGGCUAACUCCGUGCCAGCAGCCGCGGUAAUACGGAGGGGGCUAGCGUUGUUCGGAAUUACUGGGCGUAAAGCGCACGUAGGCGGUUACUCAAGUCAGAGGUGAAAGCCCGGGGCUCAACCCCGGAACUGCCUUUGAAACUAGGUGACUGGAAUCUUGGAGAGGCGAGUGGAAUUCCGAGUGUAGGGGUGAAAUUCGUAGAUAUUGGGAGGAACACCUGUGGCGAAAGCGGCUCACUGGACCACAACUGACGCUGAUGCACGAAAGCUAGGGGAGCAAACAGGAUUAGAUACCCUGGUAGUCCUAGCCCUAAACGAUGACUGCUUGGUGUGCGGGUACCCAAUCCCGCCGUGCCGUAGCUAACGCGUUAAGCAGUCCGCCUGGGGAGUACGGUCGCAAGGCUGAA
This 824-nucleotide ribosomal RNA is filed under the name uncultured bacterium. RNAcentral's name for it is "bacterial SSU rRNA". It matches the Rfam family "Bacterial small subunit ribosomal RNA", at positions 26 to 898 of the family's 1533-position model. The record is from RNAcentral.